RNAcentral lists this ribosomal RNA (504 nucleotides) under Collophorina africana. RNAcentral describes it as "SSU rRNA". It matches the Rfam family "Eukaryotic small subunit ribosomal RNA", at positions 67 to 575 of the family's 1831-position model. The record is from RNAcentral. Lineage: Eukaryota; Fungi; Ascomycota; Leotiomycetes; Phacidiales.
AAGCAUCUAUACGGUGAAACUGCGAAUGGCUCAUUAAAUCAGUCAUAAUUUAUUUGAUAGUACCAUUCUACUUGGAUAACCGUGGUAAUUCUAGAGCUAAUACAUGCUAAAAACCCCGACUUCGGAAGGGGUGUAUUUAUUAGAUAAAAAACCAAUGCCCUUCGGGGCUCCUUGGUGAUUCAUGAUAACUUAACGAAUCGCAUGGCCUUGUGCCGGCGAUGGUUCAUUCAAAUUUCUGCCCUAUCAACUUUCGAUGGUAGGAUAGUGGCCUACCAUGGUUUCAACGGGUAACGGGGAAUUAGGGUUCUAUUCCGGAGAGGGAGCCUGAGAAACGGCUACCACAUCCAAGGAAGGCAGCAGGCGCGCAAAUUACCCAAUCCCGACACGGGGAGGUAGUGACAAUAAAUACUGAUGCAGAGCUCUUUUGGGUUUUGCAAUUGGAAUGAGUACAAUUUAAAUCCCUUAACGACGAACAAUUGGAGGGCAAGUCUGGUGCCAGCAGCC